RNAcentral lists this transfer RNA (70 nucleotides) under Pseudaspius brandtii (Pacific redfin). RNAcentral's name for it is "tRNA-Arg". The record is from RNAcentral. Lineage: Eukaryota; Metazoa; Chordata; Actinopteri; Cypriniformes; Leuciscidae.
AGGGAGCUAGUCCAAAAAAAGAUCUCUGAUUUCGGCUCAGAACAUCGUGGUUUAAGUCCACGGCCCCCUU